GACGAACGUUGGCGGCGUGCCUAACACAUGCAAGUCGAACGGGGCCCGCAAGGGUUCAGUGGCGAACGGGUGCGUAACACGUGAAGAAUUUGUCCAACGGCGGGGGAUAGCCGGCCCAACGGCCGGGUAAUACCGCGUACGACCCUCGGGGGGCGAUCCCUCGAAGGUGAAAGCCGCAAGGCGCCGAUGGAGAACUUCGCGGCCUAUCAGCUAGUUGGUGAGGUCAUGGCCUACCAAGGCGACGACGGGUAGCCGGCCNGAGAGGGCGACCGGCCACACUGGGACUGAGACACGGCCCAGACUCCUACGGGAGGGCAGCAGUGGGGAAUAUUGCGCAAUGGGCGGAAGCCUGACGCAGCGACGCCGCGUGGGGGAUGACGGCC
This 383-nucleotide ribosomal RNA is filed under the name uncultured bacterium. RNAcentral's name for it is "bacterial SSU rRNA". It matches the Rfam family "Bacterial small subunit ribosomal RNA", at positions 28 to 416 of the family's 1533-position model. The record is from RNAcentral.